Molecule: long non-coding RNA, 1880 nt
Filed under: Triticum aestivum (bread wheat)
Lineage: Eukaryota; Viridiplantae; Streptophyta; Magnoliopsida; Poales; Poaceae
Description: long non-coding RNA (TAES_LNC020457)
Source: RNAcentral
CCCAUCUAUUUUUGCACUCUAAUGUUAGGGAUUGACAAAAGUAUAAGGAGAAAAUAUUGUUUUAAUAUCUGCAUGCAUCGUAUAUUGUAUCUAUGAUGCUUCAUUUCACAUUUCACCAUUUUUGGUGGAUUUGUUGGAAAGUAACUCUCUAGUAUCCCUUUUUGACACUUCUCUCUAGUCUCCUCUGGUGUUAAAAGGAUACAAUUUUUCCACUAAUGACUUAUCUGGACUGUGCAAAGGCAAUAUGUACUACCCUCUUUAUAAUCUCUUCUAUCAAGAAAUUGGAACAAAUCUGAAUAUAAGUGAAGAAGCGUCCAAGAACAUAAUAUUGCUCCCUCUUUGGAAUGUUGUAGUUCUUAGUUUCCAUAGUCUUCCCUCUUAUCUACCGAAUAUGGACCUAGUCCUCGGGUGGCUCUCGGGCAUGGCAUUCUUCCCUUGCCCUUGUGCUUGCUAUUCCCGAUCUGUAUUUUGUUUCACCAGGGCCACCUUCCUCUAGGCAUCAUCUGUCUUAGACCACUUGACAUCCGAUUAUUUCUACUUCUUUACCUGAAAAUCAGAAUUGUAAGUGUCAGUGGCACACCACACUCGUAAUCGUCAUAAUUAGCAAACAAAGUGAAAACUGAGGCGCUCAUGGGAGGGUCCUUGACUUCAUCUCUAACAUGCGGACAGCAAUCAAGUAAUGUACGAUCAUUAGAAGUAUGAUUUUUUUCCAUGCAAAUACUAUAAUUAGAAAGAUGAUGUGGCUCAUUUCAUGAUAAAGGGAAUAUACACAUUGGAAAUCAAAUAACAGUAUGAAUGGUUUGUUUUGGCCAAUUGGAAAUUUUGUUGCUUAUCCUAAAAUUUUGGGAGCAUCAAUGAAGAUGUCUUCUUGUAAAUAAAACAUCAGCAGUGAUGAUUUCAUCUUGUAUGGAACUAUGCAAGAUUAAAUAGCCUUCCGGAUGUUUAUUUCGCAGUUAAAAUAGCCUAACUUCUAGUUAGAGCAUCAAGAAGCUAUAAAGAAGUUUCCUGACCAGUGCACAACAGAUUAACAAAAUCCAUCUAAUGGAUUAGCCCAGUAUUAUAUCAACACCAGCUAACUCUGAAAUGCUAAUAUAACUGUUCAACUUUCCUGUCAACUGUGUAUCAAAAAAAUUCUACUCACAUGAUCAAAUAUCUGAUGUUAUCAAUCAGAUGGAGCAGCUUGAUAUGAUAUUUUUGAAUUAUACACGCAUGCAGCUUAAGUCAAGUAGAUUAAAUGAGUGUUUGCCGGUUCCUUAUAUAGUAGAUUAAAAUAACCCAUGCACUUCAUGGUUCAGAAUAUGUGAGUACAUUAGUAGCAGCAAGAACACAACACAUAGAUUCAUAAGCAGGAAAGUCAACAUGUUGUACCAUGUAUGUGUACAUUCGUCCUUCUUUGCCAUGUUUUAUCAUGUAGUAUUAAGGAAAUAAAUUAUUGGUGUUUUCUUGGCAUCACGGCUUUCUAGAAUAGAUAGACUAUGUUUUCCCCUUAUUCUAUUAUAUGAUUAUAGAAAUAUGCUACAUACAUCAACAAACAGUACCAUGUCAUGAAUAUAACACAUACAUAACAUUCAUACCGUCCUAGAUCUGCCAGUCUGCAUGAACUAAUUAGCUGGAUGCAGUCACUGUAGAUUGACAAUAUUCGAGAAUCAACUUCCAAGAUUUACCAAAAUCACUUAACCAGAACCAUGAUGAGCACUGCCUGUACAAAAUUAAGAUCAAAAACAAAUUAGCACAUCAGAAUCACUGGGUGGGUGAGGCAAAUUGUGCACAACAACAUGAAUUCAAGCGUGUGUAGGUUGUUUGUAAGGUGCCUGGCUUAAUCGCAGACGGUAAGUGGCGUACUUAACUAACAAGAAUAGGUACUUCCUUCACGCCGGCGG